This 621-nucleotide ribosomal RNA is filed under the name Steinernema arenarium. RNAcentral's name for it is "eukaryotic LSU rRNA". It matches the Rfam family "Eukaryotic large subunit ribosomal RNA", at positions 344 to 964 of the family's 3401-position model. Lineage: Eukaryota; Metazoa; Nematoda; Chromadorea; Rhabditida; Steinernematidae. The record is from RNAcentral.
ACAAGUACCGUGAGGGAAAGUUGCAAAGUACUUUGAAGAGAGAGUUCAAGAGGACGUGAAACCGAUAGGAUGGAAGCAGAUGAAGUUGACGAACGAGUGUCGUAUUCAGGGCCGCAUCUUGUGUGCGGUCUGUUCUUGCGACCGACGUGGGCUGGCGGCCUUGGUCAAUGCACUGUGUCAAGCGUCGAUGGUGACCCUGCGGAGGGACCGUCGGUCGGCGUACGAUGCGUGGUAUGGCUAAGGUUCGCGCCGGUCUUGAAGUCAGCGCCUCAUCUGACCCGUCUUGAAACACGGACCAAGGAGUGUAGCGUUUACGCAAGUCUUAGAGUGUAUCAAAACUUUGAGGCGCAACGAAAGUAAAGGUGGCUUUAGCUGCUGACUUGGGAUGCGCUGUCUCCUGUGGACGGCGCUGGACCAUGGUUAUAUCGCGAUCGCUUGCGAUGCGGUGUAAAUAGAGCGUAAACGGUGCGACCCGAAAGAUGGUGAACUAUGCCUGAGCAGGAUGAAGCCGGAGGAAACUCUGGUGGAAGUCCGAAGCGGUUCUGACGUGCAAAUCGAUCGUCUGACUUGGGUAUAGGGGCGAAAGACUAAUCGAACCAUCUAGUAGCUGGUUCCUUCCGA